This is a non-coding RNA of Brugia malayi, 124 nucleotides long. NCBI's taxonomy places the organism in Eukaryota, Metazoa, Nematoda, Chromadorea, Rhabditida, Onchocercidae. The record is from RefSeq and is a predicted model, not a curated record.
AUGCUAACGACCCUGAAUGAUAGCUUGCUCGAUGAGGUAGUAGGUUGUAUAGUUAUGAGUUGUACCAUAAUCGGAGAAACUGUCCAGCCUGCUAGCUUGCCGUGCGGGUCUAUCAUCCGUCCCC